UACGGAGGAUCCAAGCGUUAUCCGGAUUUAUUGGGUUUAAAGGGUGCGUAGGCGGCUUUUUAAGUCAGUGGUGAAAGACAACAGCUCAACUGUUGCAGUGCCAUUGAUACUGAAGAGCUUGAGUACAGAUGAGGUAGGCGGAAUUUAUGGUGUAGCGGUGAAAUGCAUAGAUCCCAUAAAGAACACCUAUUGCGAAGGCAGCUUACUAAGCUGUAACUGACGCUGAGGCACGAAAGCCAGGGGAGCGAACGGG
RNAcentral lists this ribosomal RNA (253 nucleotides) under uncultured bacterium. Its description in RNAcentral is "partial 16S ribosomal RNA". It matches the Rfam family "Bacterial small subunit ribosomal RNA", at positions 524 to 776 of the family's 1533-position model. The record is from RNAcentral.